AGCGAACGCUGGCGGCAGGCCUAACACAUGCAAGUCGAACGAACUCUUCGGAGUUAGUGGCGGACGGGUGAGUAACACGUGGGAACGUGCCUUUUGGUUCGGAAUAACUCAGGGAAACUUGUGCUAAUACCGAAUGUGCCCUUCGGGGGAAAGAUUUAUCGCCAUUAGAGCGGCCCGCGUCUGAUUAGCUAGUUGGUGAGGUAACGGCUCACCAAGGCGACGAUCAGUAGCUGGUCUGAGAGGAUGACCAGCCACACUGGGACUGAGACACGGCCCAGACUUCUACGGGAGGCAGCAGUGGGGAAUCUUGCGCAAUGGGCGAAAGCCUGACGCAGCCAUGCCGCGUGAAUGAUGAAGGUCUUAGGAUUGUAAAAUUCUUUCACCGGGGACGAUAAUGACGGUACCCGGAGAAGAAGCCCCGGCUAACUUCGUG
RNAcentral lists this ribosomal RNA (433 nucleotides) under uncultured bacterium. RNAcentral's name for it is "partial 16S ribosomal RNA". It matches the Rfam family "Bacterial small subunit ribosomal RNA", at positions 29 to 507 of the family's 1533-position model. The record is from RNAcentral.